This 729-nucleotide ribosomal RNA is filed under the name uncultured eukaryote. Its description in RNAcentral is "SSU rRNA". It matches the Rfam family "Eukaryotic small subunit ribosomal RNA", at positions 670 to 1426 of the family's 1831-position model. The record is from RNAcentral.
CGGGUGCACUGAUCCAGCCGGGCCUUUCCCUCUGUGGAACCCCAUGGCCUUCACUGGCUGUGGUGGGGAAACAGGACUUUUACUUUGAAAAAAUUAGAGUGCUCCAGGCAGGCCUAUGCUCGAAUACAUUAGCAUGGAAUAAUAGAAUAGGACGUGUGGUUCUAUUUUGUUGGUUUCUAGGACCGCCGUAAUGAUUAAUAGGGACAGUCGGGGGCAUCAGUAUUCAAUUGUCAGAGGUGAAAUUCUUGGAUCUAUUGAAGACUAACUACUGCGAAAGCAUUUGCCAAGGAUGUUUUCAUUGAUAAGGAACGAAAGUUAGGGGAUCGAAGACGAUCAGAUACCGUCGUAGUCUUAACUAUAAACUAUGCCGACUAGGGAUCGGACGAUGUUAUUCUUUGACGCGUUCGGCACCUUUCGAGAAAUCAAAGUGCUUGGGCUCCAGGGGGAGUAUGGUCGCAAGGCUGAAACUUAAAGAAAUUGACGGAAGGGCACCACCAGGGGUGGAACCUGCGGCUUAAUUUGACUCAACACGGGGAAACUCACCAGGUCCAGACACAGUGAGGAUUGACAGAUUGAGAGCUCUUUCUUGAUUCUGUGGGUGGUGGUGCAUGGCCGUUCUUAGUUGGUGGAGUGAUUUGUCUGCUUAAUUGCGAUAACGAACGAGACCUUAACCUGCUAAAUAGCCCGUACUGCUUUGGCGGUUCGCCGGCUUCUUAGAGGGACUAUCGG